CCCCGCCCCAAGACCCAGCGCCUUUCCCUCCUGCUUGGGCUGUUUCCAGCGGCCUCGCCAGCGUGAAGAAACGCAAACAAUGAUUUGAGAGAGUUACAGUCACUCCUGUAAAAAGUCUGACGAAUGCAAACGGCAGGGCACGGCCCUGGGUUAUGAAAGAGAAGCUGCAGGUACUUGGAGAAAAGUCGCGCUCGUGUUGUCAGGCGGCCAGCCCUCUGUCAUGCUUGUCGCUGAAAGCCCCCGCAUGAAUGUCCCCAGCAUUCUUUUACUUGGCUUAUGUUUUCUUAGACUUGUUUAUGUUUACAACUUGAAUGAGCGCGAGCAGCCAAAAAUUUCUCUUUAAAAAAUGUUUUCUGCAUGGAACAGUGAGCAAUCGUCUUUAAAUCAGACCAGAAGUUCACUGCCCCUGGAGGUGCCAGACCCUGUGAUGGUAGCUCUAUACACUUUGUGCAUUUUCGUAUUUUGGAUUAAUUACAACAGCUUUGUUUUGAGACACAUUACACACUUUGAAAAACUGGAGACCUGAGGUGGUGACAAACCAGGACUUGGGAUCACUGACGAGGACAAUCGGAGCUUUAUUCUAGUUGUUCUUUGAGCAUUUGAGCAUGGAGCUGCUUCGACUGAGAAGUACUCACGUGGAUAUCACAUAACAAAGAUGUGAUUAAUGACGGAAAAGCACACUGAGAACGGACUGCUCCGGCCAGAAGUUAUGUGUAGGAAUCAUCUAGCUCCUAAAAUAUUCCAUUUGCAAUGUACUACAUUUGGGACAUUGGUCCCUAAAGGCAACUUUCUUGUGGAAUGUCCAUGUGGACACUGCCUAAGGGACUUUUUUUUUUUUUUUAAUUGGCUCAAGAACAGAGAACCAGGUUUGGGGUGGAUUAGAAAGAUAAAAUAUCUCCAUACGUCUUUUCUGCCUUUAAGCCCUGCAACUCAAGUGCACUGGCUAUGACUGAUAAUCGUUUAAGUUAACAUGCUCAAGGUUGCACAGUACAUGGAAGUGCUGGGAUCUGAAUAGCCUGUACUACACACCUAAUUGGAAUCAAGGUCAUAGAGGCCUUAUAAGCUAUGCCAGGCUUUAAAUACUCAAGAAACAGGGAAGAUUGAAGCAAAAUUUGAAGCAUUAAGAUUAUUCACAAUCGAAGACAUGGUUCCCCUCCUGCUUUCCUGAAGACUACAGGUACCAAAACCACAUGUCCUCCUGGAUAACCUAGGAUUCCAGGCUUCUGCUUCUUAAAAAUGCAAGCUCUGGAAGAGGAGCCCUGUCAGAUUUUCAUUCAGCAAACAAUUCUGGUUUACCAACUCUUACAUGGAAACAACAACCUCAAAAGUGAACUUAGAGGAAAGAAAGCUGCUUUUAUAAAAAGUUUUCUGAACAAUAAAUGCAGGGUGUUUGUUUUUUUUCCUUACUCUAUGACAUGUACCAUGGUAAGGUUAAACUUCUUCAGGUCUGAGUCAGUAGAAUGAGAUGUGCUUGUUUAAUGUGUUUCUAUUGAGUAAAUCCUCCGGAGAAUUGUGAAAGAAGGUACCUGGUCACUUGUUUCUUCAUCUCCCUCCUACCUCCCCCGACCCUAACCCUACAGGUAUCUAGUGUCGACUUCCUUCUCUUUAAAUGCUCAAAGUCCCACCACAGCAAACAUAUCUACCCAAAUCUAUUCCCUUUUUAUAACACCUGUCCUUUAAAGUCAUAGCAUUUGCUUCUUCUACACCUAAACCCCAUAUUAAAUGAAUCGUUAGGUAACAAGUGAAAGGGAGGGAGGGAGCACAUUCAUACUAAAGUGUAAAUGAAUGAUAGCGGUGCUUAGUAAGCCAUCUCUUACAAAGGGUAGUUCAAUUGUAAACAGUUGCUUACAGAACAAAUAAAUAAAUUUUCUAUUAUUUCCUCAAAUAAGGGCACACUUUAUUCUUUUCUACUGGGUGAAGUAAAAUAUAUGGCUUGGGAAUAACAGCAGUAUUUUAAGUGGGAAUGGUAGUUAGGACAAUAUUAAGAAACGUUGUUGAGUUUAAGAAGGGUUUAGUAUAUUGGUGAAGGGGAAGAGGUAAGGCAAACUCUGAACAUGGGAGGUUUUGGUUCCUUCAGCUUCAUUUUCUCUUCCUUAUUUUUAUGCUGAUUGUGUCUCUUUUUCCUUCCUUCUCAACAGACUGUUUCAGUCCUUCUUGGAAUUAUUUAUUUAUUUUGCUCCUGCUGACAAGCUGGAGGUUGAAUUAUGUGCUCAGUCUGAAAAUGUUCCUUUAGGCUCGUGCCUCUGAACUUUCUAGCCAAUGCCGAGUAAAUAGGUACUGUGCUGUAUGCAAAUGUAGGCAUAUUUGUCUGAGUAGGCCAAAGGAGGGGAGGCAUUCUGCAAAAUGCCUUUAGAACAGAAACAAACCUUUGAGAUGAAAUAUUUUAAAGCCUCAUGAAAAUAAACUAAACUCUUCGGGAACAGAGAGUACAGAGGAAUACUUAUCUAUACAAUAAAUUGGAGAAAAACCACACACGAAGCAAGACGUGACUAAUACUUCAGCAGUGAGCUCACCUCAAGCAUUUCAUGAAUUUCACAUGACCCACCCACUUUUUCUCAGUACCUCUCAAGAUUACCAUAUCAGCAGCAAUAAUACUCUGUUGUUCUGAGUGCCAGAUUUACAUAUCAACGUAGCCAUGGCAUUCCUGAAUGUAGAAUAUUGUACUGUUCCCCUUGUUUGUGGUUUCUAUAAGGUUAAUUUUUGUUCCCUUACCCUCCUCACUUAAUCUCAUGCCACCCCCUACCUCUCUUCAAUCAGAGGUUUGUUUUUGUCUAUGAAUAGUUUUCCUCUUUUCUCAUUUUCUGUGUCAAAAUUUGAACUAUCCACAAAUUCACUGUAAAACCAUGCUGCUUUUUAAAUUUUUAUUACUCAGCUAUAGAUGAUCAACUCUUUGAAAAGAUAAGCCAGGGACAGAAAGUAACAGCUGGUCACUUCUAGGAUGGCUCUGGGAUACCUUCUUUCUCAAAUAUACGGUAUGUUAAGGUGGGUCAGAAGUUACCAUGGUAGAUUUCAUGGCUACCUUUGUUUCUUUCUUGGCAGGCUUUGUUUUUAAUUAUUUCUAUUUCUAAAUUGGAGAUGGGGAAAAAUCUCCAUGCCAGAACUGAGUCAAGCAACUUUCAUUUCCAAUGAAAGUUUGGAAAGGGCUAGAUAAUUUUUAAAUUCAUAGACUCUCGUGUGUCAAAUUUAAUGGAAAACCAGCUGGAGCCUAAGAAGCUAUUUUAAUGAGCUUCCUUUUUCUCUGAUGUUUCCCCAGAGGCAUGUGCCAAGCGGGCCCAUGUGGCCUAGGGAGUAACAUGAUCAUCUUGGCUCUGUUUAGACACCUGUGCUCUUUUAGCCUAGUGGUAAGAAGAACAGAAGAGAGAGGGUUGAGGGCAUGGAAGGCAUGCAGGCCUAGUGGGCGUGGGUGUGUGCCAUGCUGCUUAGGAAUUCACUACAAGAAACUCCACAGCAGCGGCAAAGCCUGAUGCAUCAUAGGCCAACAGUGCCUCUGUGUGGGAUUUCUGAGAGUGCAUGAAAUGUGUCUGUGUGUAUGUUGGGGAGGGAAAAAUGGGGGGAGGAGAAAAUAUGCAUUUUUAAAAGGGAUUGCAUGCCUUGGAGGUUCUUUUUGAGAAGGCGAUAUAGGGAAAAAAGAUUAAAAACCAUGAAUACAAAGUAUGCCUGGGAGUCGGAGAGCAUAUUUUUCUUCUCAACUUCUUCCCACUCCUUAAAGAACAUACAUUUGCUGUGUUCACUUUUCCUUUUCUAGCAAUCAGUGUGAUGCUUGGCUCUCCCUACCCACUUAACACAUAGAUAUUAAACUUGAUCUGUAUUAUUUUUCACCAGGAGUCUUGUUUAGUGAUUAUUCAUAGUCUCCUGUGUGUGUGAAUUUCUCCUUCCUGGAUUAUACAGUUCUUGAGGGUUUAUACUUAUAGAAGUUAAUAUUCACUCUUGUUCUUCCUCACCAAUUUGUUACUAAUUCUGGGUAUUUCUCUGCAAAUGUUGAACAUAUGACUACACAAUACUUUUUCAUAAGAUUUUCUUCCACUUACAAUGUCUUCUUUU
Long non-coding RNA from Myotis lucifugus (little brown bat), 4041 nucleotides. RefSeq lists it as uncharacterized. The record is from RefSeq and is a predicted model, not a curated record. NCBI's taxonomy places the organism in Eukaryota, Metazoa, Chordata, Mammalia, Chiroptera, Vespertilionidae. The transcript is spliced from 3 exons.